UGCUAAGUGAAAUUACGCAAUUUAAAAUAAUGAAAUUGAUCGCAUUCAUCCUUUUUGCUUUACUCAGCCUGGGACAAUGCGGAAUAAUAAAGACAAUAAAACCUUAUCCUCACAUUGCUCCGGCAAGUGGUAUCCUGUAUAAAAAUGUUCAUUCACAGAAGAAGUCUAAUCGUACAGACGUUCAGAUAGAUACAACAAAUUAUACUCCACUGGUUCUGCAACAUGGUAUUAAGGAAACUUAUACCCGUCCACUUAUAACACAGUAUAAGCGUCCAGACGUUCUAAUUAACAACUCGCCGAAUUAGAUAAACGUGUAUAAUAAAUCCCCACUUUAAAAUAUUCCUGUACCURAUUGGCCCGAAUAUUGAUUUAACAAUUAAUAAUAAAUAAAACCAAAAUGCAAA
Bactrocera latifrons is the source of this 404-nucleotide long non-coding RNA. RefSeq lists it as uncharacterized. The transcript is spliced from 2 exons. The record is from RefSeq and is a predicted model, not a curated record. Lineage: Eukaryota; Metazoa; Arthropoda; Insecta; Diptera; Tephritidae.